This 551-nucleotide ribosomal RNA is filed under the name uncultured Glomeromycotina. Its description in RNAcentral is "SSU rRNA". It matches the Rfam family "Eukaryotic small subunit ribosomal RNA", at positions 548 to 1098 of the family's 1831-position model. The record is from RNAcentral. Lineage: Eukaryota; Fungi; Glomeromycota.
UUGGAGGGCAAGUCUGGUGCCAGCAGCCGCGGUAAUUCCAGCUCCAAUAGCGUAUAUUAAAGUUGUUGCAGUUAAAAAGCUCGUAGUUGAACUUCGGGAUUUACCCAUUGGUCAGGCUUAAUUGUCUGUACUGGUGAGAUAAAUCUCUACCUUCUGAGGAACUUUCAUGUCAUUAAUUUGGUGUGAUUGGAAAUCAGGACUGUUACUUUGAAAAAAUUAGAGUGUUUAAAGCAGGCUAACGUCUGAAUACAUUAGCAUGGAAUAAUGAAAUAGGACGGACUGAUUCUAUUUCGUUGGUUUCUAGGAUCACCGUAAUGAUUAAUAGGGAUAGUUGGGGGCAUUAGUAUUCAAUUGUCAGAGGUGAAAUUCUUGGAUUUAUUGAAGACUAACUACUGCGAAAGCAUUUGCCAAGGAUGUUUUCAUUAAUCAAGAACGAAAGUUAGGGGAUCGAAGACGAUCAGAUACCGUCGUAGUCUUAACCAUAAACUAUGCCGACUAGGGAUCGGACGAAGUUAAUUUUAUAAUGACGCGUUCGGCGCCUUACGGGAAAC